UCACCGGCUGCCGAUGAUGGAUUAUGUUUAAGCUGAAGCAAAAUGAUUUUGACUGAACAUUUCGUCACUACCACUGAGGCGGCCGUUCC
Pseudophryne corroboree (corroboree frog) is the source of this 89-nucleotide small nucleolar RNA. RefSeq annotates it as small nucleolar RNA SNORD70. The record is from RefSeq and is a predicted model, not a curated record. The transcript has a single exon. Lineage: Eukaryota; Metazoa; Chordata; Amphibia; Anura; Myobatrachidae.